CGGACCGCGCCGGCCUCGGCGGGUUCCAUGGCCCGCGGGCCGCGGCGGGGGCGUUGGGCGCGGGCGCGGCGGGGGCGGAGGUGGCGCGGUGCGCAUGCGCGGGCCGGCGGCAGCCGCGUCACCUGCCGGCCCGCGGGCGGCCCUGGAGUGUCUGCGGGAGGCCUCGACCUGCGGGCCGAGGGCUAGGAACAGCUGUGUGGAGCCUGUGGUCUCACCAAGGCAUUUCUGGAUGCCUUGGACCGCAUACCUACGGACUCAUCUUUCCUGCUGCAAAAGGCCUGGAACCUCAUUGUACCCGGAAGCCAUAGCCAGAAAUCACUGCAGUUCUCUUUUUUUUUUUGGUACUACUGUUUGAACUCACGACCUUGCGCGUGCGAGGCAGGCAUGGUGCCAAUGAGCUAUAUCCCUGGCCUGCAGUUCUUUAAUACACUACAUUUUAAAACAUUAAAACUGUAGAUCUGGGUUUGCUGUCCAUGUUUUUGUGACCCACUCUUACUCCUCAUUGACCUACCAGCACAGCAGCCAACCAGCCUAAGCCUGGUUAAGAGUAAAUUAUUAGAAAAAGAACCAUCCAUUUGAUCAAUCCAGAAGUCUAACGUGAUUUCACUAUUCAAAGCAGUAAUGAAUGAUUACCAACAACAUCCCCUGUUUCCUGACCAAAUGGAAAAGUGAAAAGAAUCUACUCACCAAAAACUUGAAACCUGGAGGGGCAAGAAAGACAAACUGGUCUACAUGUUGUAACAGGUUUGUAGAGUCCACCAGAGAAUUUUGAGGACCAAGUAACAACUACAAAAAUAGGAAAGAUGCUUUUUGAACUGAAUCUUUUAAAAUGACUGCAUUUUAAUAGGCAGAGAUGGUUAAGGCCUUUCAAAUACAGGCCAGAUUAAGGAGGGUAGAAACUUUUAUGUGUCAGGUACUUUAUGUAUGUCUAUGUGUGUUUACAUUUGGUUAUCCGGUGCCUGAAAAAUCUCAGAUAAUCCUCUUAAAGAAACAUACUUAAGAAUAAAGAGAAUUCUGAGAUCUGCUGGCCAGUGAGUGAUAGAUGAUGUAUCAACAUCUGGGGGUUUUUUGUUUUUUUGAGGGGGUGGUUUGUUUUGUUUUUUGAGACAGUCUCACUAUGUAGUUCAGGCUGGCCUUGUGAAAUGGAAAAAAAAAAAAAAAGGCAGAGACUUAGUCUCAAGACUUGCCUUUCCUGCUAAACCCAUGAAGGUCGCUGUGCCCUAAAGAUGAACUGCUGAAACACCUACCUGUAUCUUCCUAUGUCUUAGAGGUACACUGUUAGCACAACAUCUGCUUGUACCUCCCUGCCCCUGUGCUUAGUUCUGCUUCUGUAAAAUUCUUCUUGCUUCCCCACCCUGCAGAAAGAGCAAUAUAAAAAUAAAGACAAACAGUCAGGGCUCAGAUUCCUGGAAGGAGACUUCCACUGAGCCCACUAAUAAAUAAACCUACCUUUGCUUUCAACUCUC
This 1466-nucleotide long non-coding RNA is filed under the name Heterocephalus glaber (naked mole-rat). RNAcentral describes it as "lncRNA (ENSHGLG00000043092.1)". Lineage: Eukaryota; Metazoa; Chordata; Mammalia; Rodentia; Bathyergidae. The record is from RNAcentral.